GACGAACCGGCCGAACGUUAUUCGGAAUCAUUGGGCUUAAAGGGUGCGUAGGCGGUGCGGUAAGUUGGGUGUGAAAUCCCUCGGCUCAACCGAGGAACUGCGCUCAAUACUGCCGUGCUUGAGGAAGACAGAGGCGAGCGGAACUGAUGGUGGAGCGGUGAAAUGCGUUGAUAUCAUCAGGAACACCAGUGGCGAAAGCGGCUCGCGGGGUCUUUUUUGACUCUGAGGCACGAAAGCUAGGGUAGCGAACAGG
This 253-nucleotide ribosomal RNA is filed under the name uncultured bacterium. RNAcentral describes it as "partial 16S ribosomal RNA". It matches the Rfam family "Bacterial small subunit ribosomal RNA", at positions 524 to 776 of the family's 1533-position model. The record is from RNAcentral.